RNAcentral lists this ribosomal RNA (218 nucleotides) under Asahinea chrysantha. RNAcentral describes it as "partial small subunit ribosomal RNA". Lineage: Eukaryota; Fungi; Ascomycota; Lecanoromycetes; Lecanorales; Parmeliaceae. The record is from RNAcentral.
UAACGGCUGAACCAGCAACUUGGAGGAAUGUACUUGCAUCAUUGUAGAGAUGAUGCAAGAUCGACUAUGUCGAAUAAAAUUCUAGGUAGAAUUAUGAUAAUGACAUUGUCUGCCUAUGUGUCUUGACCAAAUUACGUGCCAGCAGUCGCGGUAAUACGUAGAAGACUAGUGUUAUUCAUGUUUAAUCGGUUUAAAGGGUACCUAGACGGUAAAUCAAG